Molecule: ribosomal RNA, 1443 nt
Filed under: uncultured organism
Description: SSU rRNA
Rfam family: Bacterial small subunit ribosomal RNA
Source: RNAcentral
CGCUAUCGAUAGGCUUAACACAUGCAAGUCGAGGGGCAGCAUGAUCUUAGCUUGCUAAGGUUGAUGGCGACCGGCGCACGGGUGCGUAACGCGUAUGCAACUUGCCUUACAGAGGGGGAUAACCCGUUGAAAGACGGACUAAAACCGCAUACACUUGUAUUAUUGCAUGAUAUUACAAGGAAAUAUUUAUAGCUGUAAGAUAGGCAUGCGUCCCAUUAGCUGGUUGGUGAGGUAACGGCUCACCAAGGCGACGAUGGGUAGGGGAACUGAGAGGUUUAUCCCCCACACUGGUACUGAGACACGGACCAGACUCCUACGGGAGGCAGCAGUGAGGAAUAUUGGUCAAUGGGCGAUAGCCUGAACCAGCCAAGUCGCGUGAAGGAAGACAGUCCUAAGGAUUGUAAACUUCUUUUAUACGGGAAUAACGGGCGAUACGAGUAUUGCAUUGAAUGUACCGUAAGAAUAAGCAUCGGCUAACUCCGUGCCAGCAGCCGCGGUAAUACGGAGGAUGCGAGCGUUAUCCGGAUUUAUUGGGUUUAAAGGGUGCGUAGGUUGUUCGGUAAGUCAGCGGUGAAACCUGAGCGCUCAACGUUCAGCCUGCCGUUGAAACUGCCGGGCUUGAGUUCAGUGGCGGCAGGCGGAAUUCGUGGUGUAGCGGUGAAAUGCAUAGAUAUCACGAGGAACUCCGAUUGCGAAGGCAGCUUGCCAUACUGCGACUGACACUGAAGCACGAAGGCGUGGGUAUCAAACAGGAUUAGAUACCCUGGUAGUCCACGCAGUAAACGAUGAUUACUAGGAGUUUGCGAUAUACCGUCAAGCUUCCACAGCGAAAGCGUUAAGUAAUCCACCUGGGGAGUACGCCGGCAACGGUGAAACUCAAAGGAAUUGACGGGGGCCCGCACAAGCGGAGGAACAUGUGGUUUAAUUCGAUGAUACGCGAGGAACCUUACCCGGGAUUGAAAUGUAGAUGACGGAUGGUGAAAACCGUCUUCCCUUCGGGGCUUCUAUGUAGGUGCUGCAUGGUUGUCGUCAGCUCGUGCCGUGAGGUGUCGGCUUAAGUGCCAUAACGAGCGCAACCCACAUCGGUAGUUGCUAACAGUUUUCGCUGAGGACUCUACCGAGACUGCCGUCGUAAGGCGUGAGGAAGGUGUGGAUGACGUCAAAUCAGCACGGCCCUUACAUCCGGGGCGACACACGUGUUACAAUGGGAGGGACAAAGGGCAGCUACCGGGCGACCGGAUGCGAAUCUCUAAACCCUUCCCCAGUUCGGAUCGGAGUCUGCAACUCGACUCCGUGAAGCUGGAUUCGCUAGUAAUCGCGCAUCAGCCAUGGCGCGGUGAAUACGUUCCCGGGCCUUGUACACACCGCCCGUCAAGCCAUGGGAGUCGGGGGUACCUGAAGGGCGUAAACGCAAGGGGCGCACUAGGGUAAUACCGGUGACUG